GUCCUUGUAGUUCAAUGGAUAGAACAGUCCCGUCCUAAGGGAUAGAUGCAAGUUCGAUUCUUGCCGAGGACA
RNAcentral lists this transfer RNA (72 nucleotides) under Candidatus Nomurabacteria bacterium RIFCSPHIGHO2_01_FULL_36_23. RNAcentral's name for it is "tRNA-Arg". It matches the Rfam family "tRNA". From Rfam's summary of the family: Transfer RNA (tRNA) molecules are approximately 80 nucleotides in length. Their secondary structure includes four short double-helical elements and three loops (D, anti-codon, and T loops). The record is from RNAcentral. Lineage: Bacteria; Candidatus Nomuraibacteriota. RNAcentral also lists the same sequence under 2 other names.